This 497-nucleotide ribosomal RNA is filed under the name uncultured bacterium. RNAcentral describes it as "partial 16S ribosomal RNA". It matches the Rfam family "Bacterial small subunit ribosomal RNA", at positions 28 to 507 of the family's 1533-position model. The record is from RNAcentral.
GAUGAACGCUGGCGGCGUGCCUAAUACAUGCAAGUCGAGCGAACAGACGAGGAGCUUGCUCCUCUGACGUUAGCGGCGGACGGGUGAGUAACACGUGGAUAACCUACCUAUAAGACUGGGAUAACUUCGGGAAACCGGAGCUAAUACCGGAUAAUAUAUUGAACCGCAUGGUUCAAUAGUGAAAGACGGUUUUGCUGUCACUUAUAGAUGGAUCCGCGCCGGAUUAGCUAGUUGGUAAGGUAACGGCUUACCAAGGCGACGAUGCGUAGCCGACCUGAGAGGGUGAUCGGCCACACUGGAACUGAGACACGGUCCAGACUCCUACGGGAGGCAGCAGUAGGGAAUAUUCCACAAUGGGCGAAAGCCUGACGGAGCAACGCCGCGUGAGUGAUGAAGGUCUUCGGAUCGUAAAACUCUGUUAUUAGGGAAGAACAAAUGUGUAAGUAACUAUGCACGUCUUGACGGUACCUAAUCAGAAAGCAACGGCUAACUACGUG